Molecule: non-coding RNA, 5994 nt
Organism: Phoenix dactylifera (date palm)
Lineage: Eukaryota; Viridiplantae; Streptophyta; Magnoliopsida; Arecales; Arecaceae
Source: RefSeq, a predicted model, not a curated record
CAUUCGCCCCACUUGUUUUCUCCCUCACUGAUCCCUCCACCGCUCUUCUCCCAAUCCCCCUCAAAUCCCACUCGGAUCACAGCGAAAAAUUCUAGGGCUUCUCUCGUUAUUAGCCUUGCGGCUCGCCGGCGACAUGACCCAUCUAUUCAGCAUCCUCGUCAUCUUGCUCAACUUCUAGGGUUUCCCUCGCGGACUCGAAUUCUGUCGAUUUUCCUGGUUUUUCUCCGAUUUUUUGGGAUUUUUUUUUGAUCUGGAGGCAGGCAUAUCGACUGGGCUUUCUUUGAUGGGUGGCCUAAGACGAAAGAUUCUUAGUCAGCUCUGGAAGAGGAGAGGUCCAACCGGACCUCAUUCUCCACAACCCAGCUCUCGAUUUCCAUCCCAAUGGCCGCCUCCGACUUCUCCACAACCUCUUCGAGGUCUCUCCUGAUGAUGACUGAGAGAAGUCUUCAGGCCUUUUGGGUCUAGCUCUGGAGUCAGGAAGUGGCUGGGGUAGCAGGACUGCCUGUAUGGUUUUCUUUAAUCUUUAAGAAAUUGCCCUGAGUUUUGUUAUCAAUUACUCCAGCAGGUAGAAACUGCCUGUGAGCACUUUGUGGAAGUAACUUUAUUAGUUUAGUGCCUGGACUGAAGUCAUCUAACAUCCAUAGGCCCAGUAAUUUCAAUUCAUGUUCAGCAUUGUGGGAUUAAAGGAUUCCUAGGUCCCAGCCAACACUGGUGUACAAUGAUAUCUAUGCCAAAUUAUUCCUGUUACAACAUGCCAAAUAGGGCUGUCCUAGUUCUGGCCCAAACGGGCUAAUUUGGGUCGCCCCCAGCCUUGAUUUUCCAAAAUUUUUUUGGUCUAAGCUUGGCCUGAAGCCCGAGAUUGCAUGACCCGGCUCAUUUUCAACCCUAUGUGUAGGUGACCCAACGUGAAAACACUACCACCAUAUAUACCAUGCCUACCAUGGAAACUAAUAUACCAUGCAUCUAGCCUGGACGUGGACACCAUAAUUAUCUUAUUAGCCUAUAGAUUAACAUCCACACUUACUUUAUUUGCUCACAUACUGCUAGCUAAUCUUUUAUGAUAACUUAAUGAAAACUACCAUGUAUUAUAUAGUUGGCAUCAACUUGUAUACAAAAGGUUGAUUACCCAAGUGAAUAAUACACAAAAUACAACUAUUCCUCACAUUUUACUAUAUUCUAUAAUAUGGUGUUAGAGCCCUGGUUCUUGAUCCCUUCUUGUCUCUAGUCUGGCUUGGGCAUCUAACUCAGGAUCUUUUCCAAAUUCUUCCUCAAAGUUCCUUUGACUCCACAAUCAUCGAAGAACCAUCUCUAAUCCAAUAUUGCUUCAACACAUCUCCUUAACCUGCACCUGCAUUUGCUUAGUGCUAAUUUUGUUCAAUGCUCAAAGAUCCAUCUUGGAUGGUGCUUCAUGCACCCAAGUAUUUGUUUUCUCCCUUCCUUGCUUCACUUUUUAAUAUUUUUACAUCCAAGAUUUAAAUACCACCUGCUUGGUGUCGUACCACCAAUACCAUAUUGUUCUGGUGGCAUCCUAGAUGGAAACAAGAUGUGGGACAUCGAAACUAGCCCUAGUCAGUGUAUGACAUUAAUGAUAUAAAUGGACUGGUUUGGGCUUGUGGUUUUAAAUUAAAAUUUUGAUACUAAAUUAACUAAAAUUUAAAAAUAUAUUAAAUAUAAAACAAUUUGAAACAUAGGUAUUAAUAUAAGCCCAAUACAUGACACUACCCAUAAGGGGUACUGAAAUCCCAAUUCCUGAUGUUGAACUCUAUUAUCACUACCGGGAGGAAACUAGAUUUGUUCAAUUCUUGAUGGCUCUUCAAGAUGAUUUUGAGUAUAAUCAAGCCUCAAUACUCUACUAGUCCGCACCCUGUUGAUGCUGCCCUUUCAGAGUCAAUAGCAGAAGAAACAUGUAAAAGCACAACCAACUUCUCCACAACAAAUAGUGCCUCAAUUAUUUUAGCUGCUUCUUAUCUUGUCCUCUCCAACACCCUAAACUUUCUGCACUUCCACUUAGAGACAUGUCGCAAGUAUAGUGCAAAUACUACAAAUAGUUUGGAAAUGUGGUUAAGAAUUGCACCUCUUCUAUCUCUAGAAACAUGUAGGUCAACAAAAAGACUUUUUAUAAACAAAAGUUUGCAGCACCCCUCACUCAGUCGGAGCCUUCUCCUGGAUUAGUUGCUAGUCCAUCUGAAUCAUUUAGUCCUACUGUGGAAGACAUCUAGGAUAUGAUCAAGAAAGCUUUCUCUAGUAUUGGUAAUACAACUUUUGCUUUUGUCCUCUCCACUUUCUCAAGCACUUCAUCUGCUUGGUGGUUCUUUGAUUCUAGUGCCUCAAAUCACAUGAACUAUAAGCCUAUUCCUAUUUCUUCCUCACCUUUCAUUCAUACUGUUGACGGGUCUGCAAUUGUUGUGAGUCAUGUUAGAAAUGUUCAAACCGUAUCUAAUGAUCUCUCUUUACCUAAUGUUUUUCCUGUGCCCAAACUCUCAAUCAAUUUAAUGUCAAUUGGACAAUUAUAUGAGGCUUUUCCAUCACAUUCUCUUUGUCUAACUAUGUUUGUAGGAAUGUUUGACAGGGGAAGUAGGUAUAGGGUAUAAUCUUGGUUGUUUCUAAGUUUUUGAUAACUUGCAUGUUCUACCUCCUUUCAAUACCUAUCCUAUUGAUGCUUCUACUCCUGUCAUGCGUUUUCUUAUAUAUUAGCAUAGCCUCUUAGGUCAUGUUUCCUUUCUACAACUUCUUUAUAUGAUUAAUAGAAGUUUUUAGGAUCAGUUAAGUUUGAUAAAGAACAAUGUUAUGUCAAGUUUUUAGGAUCAGUUAAGUUCUAGGGUUAAGUUUUUAGGAUCAGUUAAAUUUUUAGGAUUUGCGCUACAUUUUAUGCUUAGUAAUUCUAUUUUAACUGCUCCUUUUGAUCUUAUUCAUUUGAUGUGUGGGAGCCUGCUCCUCUUGCCUCUAUAGAAGAGCUCAAUUUAUGUCAUUGCUACAUAUUGAUAUUUCUACUUCAUUCUCAACUUGAUUUUCUUAAAGUUUACAUAGAAUCUUUAAACAUAAUAAAAACACAAUUUUUGAAACCAUAAAAGUUUUCUGCUUAGAUUCUUGUGGUGAAUAUCUUUCUAAGGCUUUCGUUGAAGAUCUUAAGUCACAGGUGACAACUGCUUAAUUGUCUUGUGCUGAAACACCUCGAUAAAAUAGGUUUUCUGAACUCAAAGACCAUCAUAUUAUGGAAACUAUUUGUACAUUACUUUUGUCUUCUUCUGUGCCAGUAGAAUUUUGGGGAGAAGCUGUGAACAUAACUGUUUAUCCCAUUAAUCAUAUGCCUUCCACUGUAAUUGCAGAAGUAACCUUAUUAAAGCAUCCAUCUCAUAUUACUCCUAGCCAUUUCCCUCUUCACGUUUUUUGUUCAACUUGUUUUGUUCUUCAAAAAGAGAAAAGACAAUCGUAGCACCAAAUCUGUUUUUUAUAUGUUUUUGGGCCAUGGGAUUCAACAAAAAGAUUUCACUGUUAUGACCUUAGAAAGUAUAUAUGCCUCAUCAUGUUACCUUCUGGGAAAGGACUCCAUUUUUCACACUCCUAAAUGCACAAAAUUCCUUCCAUUAACUUCAUUUUGUUGAUCCUUUUCUUGAUUUGAAUCCCAUUACUUCUUAAAACAACCAUUCAACCACAAAUGCUAUUCCUUCUUUUGAAUCUGACCAAAAGCACCUUAUCUAGACUUUAUUGACCCAAUGUGUGAUCCACCACCAGCUACUCUUGAGCACCACUAUCCAUUUCGCAAACAACAUCCUCCACCAUAUCUCAGGGACUAUUGCUGUUAUCCAUCCACCGUUCUUUCUCUAUAUGAGCCUCAGUCCUACCAAGAAGCUUCAUUUAAUUCAUGCUGAUAGGAAGCUAUGAAUGAAGAACUUAUUGCACUUCAAAAGUCCAAUACUUAGGAAGUUGUCAGUUUACCUCCUGGAAGGUCUAUAGAAGGAAGUUAAGGGUUCUCCAAGAUCAAAAACAAAUUUGAUGGAUCUAUUGUAUGGUAUAAGGCUUGAUUAGUUACAAAGGGAUUCAAUUAAGAAUAUGGGGUUGAUUACAAAGAGACUUCUGCUCUUGUUGCUGGUAUGAUUAUAAUUCGCACUCUUCUUGCUGUUGUUGUAACUCAAGAUGGCAACUAUAUUAGAUAGAUGUUAAGGAUGCUUUCCUCAUUGGGUAUGUCCAUAAAGAGAUCCAUAUGACACCACCUCUCGGCAUGUCAUGUAAGCUAAAUCAAGUAUGUUGACUUCGUUAUCUUUCUAUGGUCUUAACCAAGCACUGCAUGCUUGGUAAAUUCCAGUCCACCAUUUAACAAAUGGCUUUUCUGAAAGUUGUCAUGAUAUUGCUGUGUUUACUCUCUUUACAGCUAAGGGGUGAUUGUUCACCUAUAUGUUGAUGACAUGGUCAUCACACAUGGUGAUUUAGAUGGCAUUAUGACACUACAUGCUGGUGAGUGAAUCCUUUGAAUGAAGGAUCUUGGCAUUCUUCGCAAUUUCAUUGGUAUUGAGGUUGAUAAUCAAUCUAAUGGAUAUUUCUUGUCUUAAGUGAAGUAUGCUUAUGAUCUAGUUGCCUGAGCAAGCUUGACGGAUAGCAAAUUAUGGAUACUCUAAGUGAACCGAAUGUCAAACUUUGACCAAUUUAUAGAAAACCACUUCCUGAUCCAACUCUUUGGGGUCGAUUGGGAGUCUCCCAAGGCUUGAUAUUAGCUAGACGGUUCAUCUUGUCAGCCAGUUCAUGAUCUCUCCUCAAUCAGUUCAUUUUGCUGUCAUAUUUCAUAUCUUGUACCAUAUCGAAGGCACGAUUUAUCGAGGAUUGUAUCUAUCAGUUCAUGACUUUUGCAGCUCAUAUUUACUUUGUGAUCAUAUUGGCAGGUAAAACAACUCUUCAGUGAUCAUGAAAAAGCUGAAAUUUCUGAACAAAUAUAAACUGUUACAUAGGCUUUCGUGAUAAUGUUCUUUCUCUUUGUUCUACUUUUGAGAUCAUCAGACUUUCUGAAUCUAUGAAUCUAUUAUAGAUAAAGCAAAUAUUAUCUUUCGUCUCUUCUUAUAUCAAGAUGUUAUGCAGCCUUUUUGAGAGCUUGUUAUCUAUCUAUUUUCUACUGGUUCCUUCCACUUAAAAUAUUUCAGAAACAUGAUUCCACUCUGCAGAGACAAAGCUAUUCAUAACUGGACUGUCUUUAGGCUUAUUAAGUAGCAAUUUUGUUUUUUUGAACUUUUUUUAGUGUUUUCAGCAUGUAAUCUGGGAGAGAGCUACAAGAACUUGUGAAACAUUCCUUAUGGAAUAAACAUGCAUCGUUAUUUGCAUAUCAUUUAUAGUUUAUGCAACUACUGCACACAUUUUGAUGCUAACUGAGCUGUUGGAGUCUGCUCAGCCACAACAUAACUUGUAGAAGAACACAAGCUACAGAAGAGGACUGUGCAUGCAUACGAGAACGCUUGUGGUGGGGACAUAGACCAUCGUUUCCAGCAUGUAUAUAGGCGUCGCCGGCGUGCAUAGCACUUUGGCCACCCUAGUUUUAUUUUUUUGUGUAUUUUUAUUUAUUUAUUAUGUAUUUUCGUCUUUUAUUAGUUGCUGACUUGUAUGGUUGUAUUUAGCUAGUGUAGUGAUCCAUGAUGUUGUUGGAUCAUGGGUAGUUACAUGAUCAUUUAUGAGGAUCAUGGGUAGUUGUAUAGGAGGUUAUAUAUGGCACCCUAUAUCUACUGUUGGAGGUAGAGUAAUUUGGAAUGAAAAAUUUGUCUUGACAUCUGGUGGACUCCAGAACUUCCCUCCUCUCUCCUUUCUAUUUAUAUUUUCUACCCUAAAUCAUCUGUCCCGCAUCAGUUUGGUAUUAGAGCUUAGACAGGCUUGCCACUGUUGCUAAAGCCUCGAUCCCUCUUCUGUCUCUUCCACUGUUCCUACUGUUCUCUUCUCCUUUCGGUUUCAGAUAAAAUAAACACCUUCUGCUGCCUCCUCCCUCUAUCUCGGAUCUCACACUAGACAAAAAAAAAAAAA